AAAGAGUAGAGGCUAGAAACUACUAUAAAAAACGGGGAAAAUUCCGAAAAUCCAAAGAGUAGGAUAAUC
Molecule: regulatory RNA element, 69 nt
Organism: Polaribacter sp. Hel1_33_78
Lineage: Bacteria; Pseudomonadati; Bacteroidota; Flavobacteriia; Flavobacteriales; Flavobacteriaceae
Rfam family: DUF805 RNA
Source: Rfam